AGAAAAAAACUUGGAAUAACUAACUGCAUAAGUGGGCACACCACUAAACUAAUACUGAAGCCCCCUCUGAUGUUAUCACAUCACUAUCUGUUUGGAUAAGAGUUUAUCAGCUUGGCACAUCUUGAUGGGAAUAUUUUACCACUCUUUUUUGCAAAAAUGUUUCAGAUGCGAGGACAUCACCUGCACACAGCCCUCUUCAGGUCCCCCCAAAGCUUUUCUAUAGAAUUCAGCUUUCUAGCAAACCCCAGAAGGUUCCUUGCCAAAAUCAUCCAGAACUUGGAGCUAUUCAAGAUUCCCUCCAUCUUCACUAAAACCUGUGGGUGCUUCUAAUUUCUUAUGUGUGCAUCUUCAUUUGUUUUCCUCACAUAUCCACCCCCUGUAGAAUGCAAGGGAAGGCUGCACGGAAAGAAAAUGAGGAAGGAUGAAUUGAAGGAAAUAUUUUUUUUAAAUAUUGGAAUAUUCUUGAUCACUCAAGUGUCACUUCAAAGCGUCAUCAGCUGUGCUCAAAAGAUCUGUCCUUAUGUUAUAAUAAUAAGCAUAAUAUGUUUAUUUUAUAUUGUGCCUUUCCCGAGCUCAAUGAUGCUUCACAAUAACAGAGAAGAACAGUCAGAUUAUACAUAAUAAAUGGACAGUAGACAUUUGCCCAGUCCAAAAUGUUGAGAGAUUGCAGUUGCAUAUUGCAUUACAAUCGAAAUCAAACAGACACUAUGACAGAAACAAACACUAUUUACAGACACCAUAGAAGGUGGGCAAAAUAAUAAUGGUACGUAAGGAUACAUUAUGACUGUAAGUUAUGUAAAAUGUUUAAGAAAAAGUGUGGUUGUUGUCCUAAGAGCCAGGGGAAGAGAGUUCCAUAGCUUAGGGGCUAUAAUGGAGAAAGACCUACUGCCCUACAAAAAGGCAAAGCGCAGUAACUACACAUUUGGUCAAAAAUGAGUUAAGACUUGUAAUGGGCUUUAUGACAUGUGUUCUG
Non-coding RNA from Pimephales promelas (fathead minnow), 973 nucleotides. The record is from RefSeq and is a predicted model, not a curated record. Lineage: Eukaryota; Metazoa; Chordata; Actinopteri; Cypriniformes; Leuciscidae.